GUAGGUGGCAAGCGUUGUCCGGAAUUAUUGGGCGUAAAGCGCGCGCAGGCGGUUCUUUAAGUCUGAUGUGAAAGCCCACGGCUCAACCGUGGAGGGUCAUUGGAAACUGGAGAACUUGAGUACAGAAGAGGAAAGCGGAAUUCCACGUGUAGCGGUGAAAUGCGUAGAGAUGUGGAGGAACACCAGUGGCGAAGGCGGCUUUUCUGGUCUGUAACUGACGCUGAGGCGCGAAAGCGCGGGGAGCAAACAGGGAUUAGAUACCCUGGUAGUCCACGCCGUAAACGAUGAGUGCUAAGUGUUAGGGGGUUUCCGCCCCCUUAGUGCUGCAGCUAACGCAUUAAGCACUCCGCCUGGGGAGUACGGCCGCAAGGCUG
RNAcentral lists this ribosomal RNA (374 nucleotides) under uncultured organism. RNAcentral's name for it is "partial 16S ribosomal RNA". It matches the Rfam family "Bacterial small subunit ribosomal RNA", at positions 527 to 896 of the family's 1533-position model. The record is from RNAcentral.